This 45-nucleotide non-coding RNA is filed under the name Trichobilharzia regenti. The record is from RNAcentral. Lineage: Eukaryota; Metazoa; Platyhelminthes; Trematoda; Strigeidida; Schistosomatidae.
ACCCAGCUGACGAGUCCCAAAUAGGAUGACAUGUGCAUCCUGGAU